AGUGAACGCUGGCGGUAGGCCUAACACAUGCAAGUCGAACGGCAGCACAGUAAGAGCUUGCUCUUACGGGUGGCGAGUGGCGGACGGGUGAGGAAUACAUCGGAAUCUACUUUUUCGUGGGGGAUAACAUAGGGAAACUUACGCUAAUACCGCAUACGGCCUACGGGUGAAAGCAGGGGAUCUUCGGACCUUGCGCGAUUGAAUGAGCCGAUGUCGGAUUAGCUAGUUGGCGGGGUAAAGGCCCACCAAGGCGACGAUCCGUAGCUGGUCUGAGAGGAUGAUCAGCCACACUGGAACUGAGACACGGUCCAGACUCCUACGGGAGGCAGCAGUGGGGAAUAUUGGACAAUGGGCGCAAGCCUGAUCCAGCCAUACCGCGUGGGUGAAGAAGGCCUUCGGGUUGUAAAGCCCUUUUGUUGGGAAAGAAAAGCAGCAGGUUAAUACCCCGCUGUUCUGACGGUACCCAAAGAAUAAGCACCGGCUAACUUCGUG
RNAcentral lists this ribosomal RNA (492 nucleotides) under uncultured bacterium. RNAcentral describes it as "partial 16S ribosomal RNA". It matches the Rfam family "Bacterial small subunit ribosomal RNA", at positions 29 to 507 of the family's 1533-position model. The record is from RNAcentral.